Molecule: ribosomal RNA, 238 nt
Filed under: uncultured bacterium
Lineage: Bacteria
Description: partial 16S ribosomal RNA
Rfam family: Bacterial small subunit ribosomal RNA
Source: RNAcentral
GAUAAUGGCUCAGGAUGAACGCUAGCUACAGGCUUAACACAUGCAAGUCGAGGGGCAGCAUGAUUGAAGCUUGCUUCAAUUGAUGGCGACCGGCGCACGGGUGAGUAACACGUAUCCAACCUGCCGAUAACUCGGGGAUAGCCUUUCGAAAGAAAGAUUAAUACCCGAUAGUAUAGUAUUUCCGCAUGGUUUCACUAUUAAAGAAUUUCGGUUAUCGAUGGGGAUGCGUUCCAUCAGA